Molecule: ribosomal RNA, 379 nt
Filed under: uncultured eukaryote
Lineage: Eukaryota
Description: partial 18S ribosomal RNA
Rfam family: Eukaryotic small subunit ribosomal RNA
Source: RNAcentral
CAAUAGCGUAUAUUUAAGUUGUUGCAGUUAAAAAGCUCGUAGUUGGAUUUCGGAUGGGAUUUGCCGGUCCGUUGUUACGAUGUGCACUGGCCAGUCCUAUCUUGUUGUCGGGGACUAGCUCCUUGGAUUCACUUCCUGGGACUAGGAGCUGACGAGGUUACUUUGAGUAAAUUAGAGUGUUCAAAGCAAGCCUACGCUCUGAAUACAUUAGCAUGGAAUAACACGAUAGGACUCUGGCUUAUCUUGUUGGUCUGUGAGACCAGAGUAAUGAUUAAGAGGGACAGUCGGGGACAUUCGUAUUUCAUUGUCAGAGGUGAAAUUCUUGGAUUUAUGAAAGACGAACUUCUGCGAAAGCAUUUGUCAAGGAUGUUUUCAUUAA